This 499-nucleotide ribosomal RNA is filed under the name uncultured bacterium. RNAcentral's name for it is "bacterial SSU rRNA". It matches the Rfam family "Bacterial small subunit ribosomal RNA", at positions 28 to 521 of the family's 1533-position model. The record is from RNAcentral.
GAUGAACGCUAGCUACAGGCUUAACACAUGCAAGUCGAGGGGCAGCACUAGGUAGCAAUACUGAGGUGGCGACCGGCGCACGGGUGCGUAACGCGUAUCCAACCUUCCCGAUACUCUUGGAUAGCCUUCCGAAAGGGAGAUUAAUACAAGAUGGUGUUUCACUUUCGCAUGUUAUUGAAACUAAAGAUUUAUCGGUAUCGGAUGGGGAUGCGUGACAUUAGAUAGUAGGCGGGGUAACGGCCCACCUAGUCUACGAUGUCUAGGGGUUCUGAGAGGAAGGUCCCCCACACUGGAACUGAGACACGGUCCAGACUCCUACGGGAGGCAGCAGUGAGGAAUAUUGGUCAAUGGGCGUAAGCCUGAACCAGCCAAGUAGCGUGAAGGAUGACUGCCCUACGGGUUGUAAACUUCUUUUGUAUGGGAAUAAAGUUCAGUACGUGUACUGUUUUGAUGUACCAUACGAAUAAGCAUCGGCUAAUUCCGUGCCAGCAGCCGCGGU